AACUAUAACAGUCGAUGAAGAAAGGGUUACUUGCUAUAUAUCCUAUCGGUU
Molecule: small nuclear RNA, 51 nt
Filed under: Eremothecium gossypii FDAG1
Lineage: Eukaryota; Fungi; Ascomycota; Saccharomycetes; Saccharomycetales; Saccharomycetaceae
Description: FAgSNR4
Source: RNAcentral